RNAcentral lists this ribosomal RNA (487 nucleotides) under uncultured bacterium. Its description in RNAcentral is "bacterial SSU rRNA". It matches the Rfam family "Bacterial small subunit ribosomal RNA", at positions 32 to 507 of the family's 1533-position model. The record is from RNAcentral.
AACGCUGGCGCGUGCCUAAAUCAUGCAAGUCGAGCGGAAUGAUGAAGAAGCUUGCUUCUCUUGAUUUGCGGCGGACGGGUGAGUACACGUGGGCACUACCUGUAGAUUGGGAUAACUCGGAAACCGGGGCUAAUACCGAAUAAUCCAUUUUGCUUCAUGGCGAGAUGUUGAAAGACGGUUUCGGCUGUCACUACAAGAUGGGCCCGCGGCGCAUUAGCUAGUUGGUAGGGUAAUGGCCUACCAAGGCGACGAUGCGUAGCCGACCUGAGAGGGUGAUCGGCCACACUGGGACUGAGACACGGCCCAGACUCCUACGGGAGGCAGCAGUAGGGAAUCUUCCACAAUGGACGAAAGUCUGAUGGAGCAACGCCGCGUGAGUGAAGAAGGUUUUCGGAUCGUAAAACUCUGUUGUAAGGGAAGAACACGUACGAGAGUAACUGCUCGUACCUUGACGGUACCUUAUUAGAAAGCCACGGCUAACUACGUG